AGAAUCAACGCUGGCGGCGUGCCUAACACAUGCAAGUCGCACGAGAAAGGGACUUCGGUCCUGAGUACAGUGGCGCACGGGUGAGUAACACGUGAAUAAUCUACCUCCGAGUGGGGAAUAACUGGGAGAAAUCUUAGCUAAUACCGCAUAACACUUACGAGUCAAAGCAGCAAUGCGCUUGGAGAGGAGUUCGCGGCAGAUUAGUUAGUUGGCGGGGUAAUGGCCCACCAAGACGAUGAUCUGUAUCCGGCCUGAGAGGGCGCACGGACACACUGGAACUGAAACACGGUCCAGACUCCUACGGAGGCAGCAGUGGGGAAUUUUGCGCAAUGGGGGAAACCCUGACGCAGCAACGCCGCGUGGAGGAUGAAAUCCCUUGGGAUGUAAACUCCUUUCGAUAGGGAAGAUAAUGACGGUACCUAUAGAAGAAGCCCGGCUAACUUCGCGCCAGCAGCCGC
Molecule: ribosomal RNA, 458 nt
Filed under: uncultured bacterium
Lineage: Bacteria
Description: SSU rRNA
Rfam family: Bacterial small subunit ribosomal RNA
Source: RNAcentral